CGGGAUGGCUAGAGUGGCGAACGGGUGAGUAACACGUAUGUGAUCUGCCCGUCAGUUGGGGAUAGCCCAGGGGAGCGUGGGGUAAUACCGAAUACGCUCAGGACCCUGUGGGGAUCUGAGGAAAAGCGCUUCGGCGCUGCUCGAGGAUGAGCCUGCGGCUGAUUAGUUAGUUGGUGGGGUAACGGCCUACCAAUGCGACGAUCAGUAGCCGGCCUGAGAGGGUGAGCGGCCACACUGGGACUGAGAUACGGGCCAGACUGGGAGCGGGAAGCAGCAGCUAAGAAUCUUCUACAGUGGACGAAAGUCUGAUAGAGCGACGCCGCGUGAGUGAUUGCAGCCGGAAGGUUGUAAAGCCCUUUUCUAUACGAGGAAUAACCAUAGGAGGCAAUGCCUGUGUGAUGACUGUAGGGUAGGAAUAAGCCCCGGCCAAUUACGUGCCAGCAGCCGAGGUAACACGUAUGGGGCGAGCGUUGUGCGGAAUCAUUGGGCGUAAAGGGCGCGUAGGCGUAUAUGCAAGCCUUGGUGUGAAAGACCGCAGCUCAACUGCGGGAUCGUGCUGAGAACUGCAUAUCUUGAGUUCAAGAGGGGAAGCUGGAAUUCCAGGUGUAGGGGUGAAAUCUGUAGAUAUCUGGAAGAACAUCAGUGGCGAAGGCGAGCUUCUGGCUUUGAACUGACGCUGAGGCGCGAAAG
This 690-nucleotide ribosomal RNA is filed under the name uncultured organism. RNAcentral describes it as "bacterial SSU rRNA". It matches the Rfam family "Bacterial small subunit ribosomal RNA", at positions 82 to 759 of the family's 1533-position model. The record is from RNAcentral.